Mycena leptocephala is the source of this 91-nucleotide non-coding RNA. Lineage: Eukaryota; Fungi; Basidiomycota; Agaricomycetes; Agaricales; Mycenaceae. The record is from the annotation of a GenBank genome assembly.
GCCUCUGUGGAUCAAGGUAGAUCGCCUCAGAAAAAUUCAGUCGGAUGUCCAUCUAUUUGAGUAGCAGUGGGUUCGAAUCCCACCAGAGGCA